GUGAGGAAUUUUCCGCAAUGGGCGAAAGCCUGACGGAGCAAUGCCGCGUGAAGGAUGAAGGCCUAUGGGUUGUAAACUUCUUUUCUCAGAAAAGAAUUAUGACGGUAUCUGAGGAAUAAGCAUCGGCUAACUCUGUGCCAGCAGCCGCGGUAAGACAGAGGAUGCAAGCGUUAUCCGGAAUGAUUGGGCGUAAAGCGUCUGUAGGUUGUUUAAAAAGUAUUCUGUCAAAGAUUAGGGCUUAACCCUAGAUAGGCAGAAUAAACUUUUAAGCUAGAGUUUGGUAGAGGCAGAGGGAAUUCCCGGUGGAGCGGUGAAAUGCGUAGAUAUCGGGAGGAACACCAAAGGCGAAGGCACUCUGCUGGGCCACUACUAACACUGAGAGACGAAAGCGAGGGGAGCAAAUGGGAUUAGAUACCCUGGUAGUCC
RNAcentral lists this ribosomal RNA (426 nucleotides) under uncultured bacterium. Its description in RNAcentral is "partial 16S ribosomal RNA". It matches the Rfam family "Bacterial small subunit ribosomal RNA", at positions 354 to 796 of the family's 1533-position model. The record is from RNAcentral.